GAGAAAUAUCAAGUGAAGCAUCUCAAAAGUUUCUGCGAGAAGUUCAUAACAUCCAAAGUGAAUAACGAUAAUGCGAUCGCUAGCUACGCAUUCGCUCAUAGGCACAACGCAAGGCAAGUGCUCGAGGCUGCCCUAUCUGUUAUCAUGGACAACAUGGGGACACUUACCGAGCGAGACGAGUACAAGGAGCUAGUGGAGAAGGACCCGAGACUU
RNAcentral lists this unclassified non-coding RNA (213 nucleotides) under Hevea brasiliensis (rubber tree). Lineage: Eukaryota; Viridiplantae; Streptophyta; Magnoliopsida; Malpighiales; Euphorbiaceae. The record is from RNAcentral.